This 253-nucleotide ribosomal RNA is filed under the name uncultured bacterium. RNAcentral describes it as "partial 16S ribosomal RNA". It matches the Rfam family "Bacterial small subunit ribosomal RNA", at positions 524 to 776 of the family's 1533-position model. The record is from RNAcentral.
UACAGGGGGUGCAAGCGUUAAUCGGAAUUACUGGGCGUAAAGCGUGCGCAGGCGGUUUUGUAAGCCAGAUGUGAAAUCCCCGGGCUUAACCUGGGAAUGGCAUUCGGGACUGCAAGGCUCGAGUGCGGCAGAGGAGACUGGAAUUCCUGGUGUAGCAGUGAAAUGCGUAGAUAUCAGGAGGAACACCGAUGGCGAAGGCAGGUCUCUGGGCUGACACUGACGCUCAUGCACGAAAGCGUGGGGAGCAAACAGG